RNAcentral lists this ribosomal RNA (433 nucleotides) under uncultured bacterium. Its description in RNAcentral is "partial 16S ribosomal RNA". It matches the Rfam family "Bacterial small subunit ribosomal RNA", at positions 29 to 507 of the family's 1533-position model. The record is from RNAcentral.
AAUGAACGCUGGCGGCAUGCCUAACACAUGCAAGUCGAACGACACCUUCGGGACUAGUGGCGCACGGGUGCGUAACGCGUGGGAACCUGCCCUUAUGCUCGGAAUACCUCCCCGAAAGGGGUGCUAACACAGGAUAAUUUCUGCGAACAAAACAUUUAUCGCCUUUGGCUGAGCACGGGUUGGACGAGCUAGUUGGUAGGGUAAAAGCCUACCAAGGCGACGAUCGAUAGCUGGUCUGAGAGGAUGAUCAGCGACACUGGGACUGAGACACGGCCGAGACUCCUACGGGAGGCAGCAGUGGGGAAUAUUGGACAAGCGGCGAAGGCCUGAUCCAGCACGGCCGCGUGAGUGAUGAAGGCCUUAGGGUUGAAAAGCACUUUUACCCGGGAUGGUAAUGACAGUACCGGGAGAAUAAGCUCCGGCUAACUCCGUG